AUGGUUGAACAAAUAAAUAAUUGUCUCUUUUUUAAAUUUUGAAUUUAACUUUUAAGUGAAAAGGCUUAAAUAAUUCAAAGGGACGAUAAGACCCUAUAAAUCUUUAUGUAAAUAUUUGUUUUUGUUAAUAAGUUGUUUAAUAAUUUAAAAAUAAAUAUUGCAUUGUGUUGGGGAGACAGAAGUAUAAAUAGUGUAACUGCUUGUGUUUAAAUACUUAUAAUAUUUGUUUAUUUUUAAAGAUCCUUUUGAAGAUUUAAAGAAUAAGUUACUUUAGGGAUAACAGCGUUAUUUUUUUUGAGAGUUCUUAUCGAAAAAAAAGUUUGCGACCUCGAUGUUGAAUUAAAAUUUCUUUAUAAUGUAGCCGUUAUAGAAGAAGGUCUGUUCGACCUUUAAUAUUUUACGUGAUCUGAUU
This 412-nucleotide ribosomal RNA is filed under the name Homolochunia valdiviae. RNAcentral's name for it is "partial large subunit ribosomal RNA". The stretch from base 276 to 412 matches the Rfam family "Bacterial large subunit ribosomal RNA", at positions 2473 to 2610 of the family's 2925-position model. The record is from RNAcentral. Lineage: Eukaryota; Metazoa; Arthropoda; Malacostraca; Decapoda; Homolidae.